UACGUAGGGUGCGAGCGUUGUCCGGAAUUAUUGGGCGUAAAGGGUGCGUAGGCGGUCUGACAAGUCUGAUGUGAAAUCUAUGGGCUCAACCCAUAGUCUGCAUCGGAAACUGUCGGGCUGGAGUAUGGGAGAGGUGAGUGGAAUUUCCGGUGUAGCGGUGAAAUGCGUAGAUAUCGGAAGGAACACCUGUGGCGAAAGCGGCUCACUGGACCAUUACUGACGCUGAUGCACGAAAGCUAGGGGAGCAAACAGG
Molecule: ribosomal RNA, 253 nt
Filed under: uncultured bacterium
Lineage: Bacteria
Description: partial 16S ribosomal RNA
Rfam family: Bacterial small subunit ribosomal RNA
Source: RNAcentral